This is a long non-coding RNA of Dermochelys coriacea (leatherback sea turtle), 385 nucleotides long. RefSeq lists it as uncharacterized. The transcript has 3 exons. The record is from RefSeq and is a predicted model, not a curated record. Lineage: Eukaryota; Metazoa; Chordata; Testudines; Dermochelyidae.
UGAAAGUGGAAGCAACAGGAAACAAGAAGAUAUGUACCUCUAUCAGAUGUGUUGCACAUGCCCAUUCCACAUGGCUCGAGCUGCCCAAUGGGUACUGCUGAAGGAAAGGCUUCCAAUGGCUGUGGGAUGGGCACACAGACACCAAAAGUGGAAUGUACAAUCACUUGAACCAGGAACAGCCAGGGUAACAGAUCUCAAGAACUGAUGAACAGCAAUAAGAUAAAAUGAAGAUCCCAGCCCCCUUCCUCCCCGCCCCCAUUAGCUGUUCCAGCACAAGAUUUAGACCUGAAGAUUCUGCUAUCAGAGAGAUUUGAUGGGAACUGUUGGAAGUUUGUGGGUUCCUCAGUCAGCAUUACCAGCUGUUCCUGUUUUGGCCAGUGAUGUA